AAGACCUUACGCUUUUGGAGCGGCCGAUGUCUGAUUAGCUUGUUGGUGAGGUAAAGGCUUACCAAGGCUUCGAUCAGUAGCUGGUCUGAGAGGACGACCAGCCACACUGGGACUGAGACACGGCCCAGACUCCUACGGGAGGCAGCAGUGGGGAAUUUUGGACAAUGGGGGCAACCCUGAUCCAGCCAUGCCGCGUGAGUGAAGAAGGCCUUCGGGUUGUAAAGCUCUUUCAGCCGGAACGAAACGGUUACGGUUAAUACCCGUGACUACUGACGGUACCGGAAGAAGAAGCACCGGCUAACUACGUGCCAGCAGCCGCGGUAAUACGUAGGGUGCAAGCGUUAAUCGGAAUUACUGGGCGUAAAGCGUGCGCAGGUGGUUUUGUAAGUCAGAUGUGAAMUCCCCGGGCUUAGCCUGGGAACU
This 423-nucleotide ribosomal RNA is filed under the name uncultured bacterium. RNAcentral describes it as "bacterial SSU rRNA". It matches the Rfam family "Bacterial small subunit ribosomal RNA", at positions 207 to 622 of the family's 1533-position model. The record is from RNAcentral.